GUGGGGAAUCUUGCGCAAUGGGCGAAAGCCUGACGCAGCCAUGCCGCGUGAAUGAUGAAGGUCUUAGGAUUGUAAAAUUCUUUCACCGUGGACGAUAAUGACGGUACCCGGAGAAGAAGCCCCGGCUAACUUCGUGCCAGCAGCCGCGGUAAUACGAAGGGGGCUAGCGUUGCUCGGAAUUACUGGGCGUAAAGGGCGCGUAGGCGGACAGUUUAGUCAGAGGUGAAAGCCCAGGGCUCAACCUUGGAAUUGCCUUUGAUACUGGCUGUCUUGAGUACGGGAGAGGUGAGUGGAACUCCGAGUGUAGAGGUGAAAUUCGUAGAUAUUCGGAAGAACACCAGUGGCGAAGGCGACUCACUGGCCCGUUACUGACGCUGAGGCGCGAAAGCGUGGGGAGCAAACAGGAUUAGAAACCCUUGUAGUCC
RNAcentral lists this ribosomal RNA (425 nucleotides) under uncultured bacterium. RNAcentral describes it as "partial 16S ribosomal RNA". It matches the Rfam family "Bacterial small subunit ribosomal RNA", at positions 354 to 796 of the family's 1533-position model. The record is from RNAcentral.